UGGGGAAUAUUGCACAAUGGGGGAAACCCUGAUGCAGCGACGCCGCGUGAGCGAAGAAGUAUUUCGGUAUGUAAAGCUCUAUCAGCAGGGAAGAAAAUGACGGUACCUGAGUAAGAAGCUCCGGCUAAAUACGUGCCAGCAGCCGCGGUAAUACGUAUGGAGCAAGCGUUAUCCGGAUUUACUGGGUGUAAAGGGAGCGCAGGCGGCAGGGCAAGUCUGAUGUGAAAUACCGGGGCUCAACUCCGGGACUGCAUUGGAAACUGUCCUGCUGGAGUAUCGGAGAGGCAGGCGGAAUUCCUAGUGUAGCGGUGAAAUGCGUAGAUAUUAGGAGGAACACCAGUGGCGAAGGCGGCCUGCUGGACGAUGACUGACGCUGAGGCUCGAAAGCGUGGGGAGCAAACAGG
This 404-nucleotide ribosomal RNA is filed under the name uncultured bacterium. RNAcentral describes it as "bacterial SSU rRNA". It matches the Rfam family "Bacterial small subunit ribosomal RNA", at positions 355 to 776 of the family's 1533-position model. The record is from RNAcentral.